AAAAAAGGAAAAGAAGAGAAAGAGCCAGUACCUGAAGCAUUCAAAGAUGCAUUUGUCCAGAUGAAAAAGGAGAGUAAGGUUGAAAUCAUAGUAAGUCUCAAGUGUGAUGCUGAGUAGGUUUAACUAAAAUUCCACCAAGGCAAGGCCAAGAACAAGUGGCAGAUCAGGGACCCAGAGUCUAAAGAGUUGUGCAGAACAGAGCAGCCUGAGCUGAACAUUUCAGAAUACUGUGCACAAAUGAAGGGCCAGCAGUGUGCUUGAUCUGGUUUCUCAAUUCUUCUCCCACAUCAUCUCUAUAAACCAUCAACUUUGAAUUGAUUCUAGAAUUCUCCUUUUCAACUCCUACAGAAGGAAUGCAGAACCAUCAGAGAAACAAACCAUAUAACUGGUAUGGUCACAGAUUUCAGCCUCUGGUAUCUUUAAAGCUGCUUCUCAUUUCCUUAUGACCUUGAUCCACCCCCUUCUCCCAUGUACCUCAGUGUUUAUUCUAAACUGUUAUGACUCAAAUUCUUACAACAUAUGAAGCCUUAAAAGAGGUCUUUCAGCAUUAGGAGUACCAAGCAGUGAUAUCCUGUGGCAACUUUCCCGGACCAUCAAUCCCAGAAAUGGUAGAAUUAAUCCUUCUACACUUGAAACCCUGUUUAAACUCCAGUUACUCUAAGUCCAAGUCUUUAAGAUCUAAUCUUCACACUUCCCAACCCUCUUUCACUGAGAUCUCAGAUCUCUAGCUCUGUGAUCAACAAAUUCCCCUGUGGCUUCAAUAUCUUUUCUGAAGGCCUUCCUUUUUCUUGCCAAAAUGAAAGACUGUCUCUCCUUUGAGCACAUUGCUUUCUGGCCAGCUUUCUCAAGUAGAGUCCAUUUUUCUUUUCUCCAACCUCAGGGUAAGGAGGUGAAGUUGAGAUCCUCCUUAUUCCCAUUGUUGCCUCUGACCAUCAUCCCAUUCCUGCCUGUGAAAAUCUUUCCUCCUCUGAAGCACCUGCCAUCAGGCCAUAACACCCUUUCUUCACAUUUAUUGAGGCUUAAGUCACUGAUUCACAGCCUUCUCUUGCUUUACUCUGAUCAUUCCAGAUGACUUCAGUGCUUCAAUUUUCUUAACCUCCCCCAUCUCCAAAGAUCUUCUUCUCCCUCUAGUUUACCACUCUGUCAUUACCAGAAAUUGUAUUACAUCUGAAAUUUCAAUUUUGAACCUUCUUCUUGCCCAGCUUAUUUGCUCAAGUACCUGCUUGGCCAAUGUUCUACUGUUCAUAAGUCCUCUCCCAGUCUUCCUUUGAAUCUGGACUUGACUGUAUCCCAUGAUCCACCAGUAUAUAUAUCCCAUGAUCCAACUUCAAUUCCGGAUAGAUCAUACUAUCGAUCUACUCUUUGUCUGCAAUGGAGCAGCUAGAUUAGAUGUUGUUGGAAAAACCACUCAACCAGGCCUACUGAUUUUAUUUAAAAUUCAUGAUCUCAUAUCAAAAUGGCCUUCCCUACUGCCAAGGAGUCCUAUUAUGUUUCUCUAGUGGUCUCCAUUUCCUAUUCUCCCUUUCUCUUUUCUUUCCCCUUCCAUCCAAACUACUACUUUCAGUAUAUCAUGUUGACUCCACCUUGAGAUAUGCCUCAAAUCUUACUGCUUUUCACCAUCUUUCUCUCUACCACCCUUGUUCAAGCAACAUAUUUUUUCUCCGAGCUACUGAGUGUUCUUUCUGUUUCUAGUCUUGCCCCUCUCUACUCCCCAAGUAUAUAGUCCAGUCCCCAAAGGAAGGAUGAGAUGAAUUAGAUCAUGCUACUUCUCUGUUGAAAUCCAGCUCAGUAAAAACCAAAGUUCCCUAUGGUGGUCUGCAUCCCCGUCAUGAUUUCCUGCCCUGUCGACUUUCCCUCACCCUUUACUUCUGUUUCUCCCACUGCGCUGUGCUGGGUGAGCGCUCUCAGCUUCAUUUAUUCUCUCCAUAAAGUGUUUUCUUUUCUUUUUUUUUUUUUGAGAGAGAGAAAGAGAGAAUUUUUAUUUAUUUUUUGGCAGACACAACAUCUUUGUUUGUAUGUGGUGCUGAGGAUCAAAUCCGGGCCGCACGCAUGCCAGGCGAGUGCGCUACUGCUUGAGCCACAUCCCCAGCCCCUCUCCAUAAAGUGUUUUCAACCCAGAUGCCCACAUGGCUCCCUCAUCUCCUUCAAGUUUUUGUCCAGCAAGCCUUUUCUUGAUUACCUUAACUAAAAUUGCAACCACAUUAUCUGAAAUUCCCUAGCCCCCAUUUUUUUGGUGUGUUUCGUUUUGUUUUUCCAUAAAACACUUAUAUUUUUGUUAUACUAUAUCAUUUGCUUAUUUAAUUUACUGUGUUUCUUAUUCUACUAGAAUGUAAAACCCAGGAUUUUUUGUUUGGUUUUGGUCUGUUUUGUUCACUGCUGCGUCACUAGUGUCUAGGACACAUAGUAAGUUCCUUUUUUUGGGGGGAGGGGGUGGUACCAGAGAUUGAACCCCAGGGGUCCUUAACUAUUGAGCCACAUCCCCAACCCCAACUUUUUAUUUUUUAAUUUUGAGACAGGUUCUCACUAAGUUGCUUAGGGCCUCACUAAGUUGCUGAGGCUGGCUUUAAAUUUGUGAUCCUCCUGCCUCAGCCUCCCAAGUUGCUGGGAUUACAGGCAUGUGCUACCAUGCCUGGCCAUAGCAGUUUCUUAAUAAACUUUUGUUGAAUUAAUAAAAUGAAUGAAUCUCAAAUAAUGGAUGGUUGAACAUUCUUUAGGUAAUCUUCCAUCAAUAAUGUUUCUCUAAAGCAGGGAAUAAAGCAGAAUUCUUAGCCCUGUGGAGCUGACAACUACUGAAUGCUAAGUUUGACAAUUUAUAUGUCUCUAUAUCUUGCAGCUAUCCUGUGAGUAGAUAAAUCCAUUCAUUCAUUUGUUCAUUAAACAAGUAUUUAUUGACCAUCUAUGUUGUCUCAGGCACUAUUCUAGACAUUGGGGAUAUAAAGUCCUCUCUACAUGGAAUUCUAAAGGAGAGAAGGGCGGUAUACAUAAAGAAAGAUCAGAGAGUGAUAGGGUAAAGAAUAUGCAAUUAGCUAAUGGUGGUGUGGAGCACUCUAGAUGUGGUCAAGGAAGGCGUCUCUGUGGGACUGACAAUUAAGAUCAGACCUGGGUGAUAAAAAGGAGCUGGCUAGCUGGGUGUGGUGGCACACGCCUCUAAUCCCAGUGAUUUAGGAGGCUAAGGCAAGAGGAUCUUGAGUUCAAAGUCAGCCUCAGCAAUUUAAUGAGGCCUCAAGCAACUUAGUGAGACCCUGUCUCAAAAUAAAAAAUAAAAAGGGCUAGGGAUGUGGCUCAGUGGUUAUGAGCCCUUAGGUUAAAUCUCCAGUAUGACAUGAUUCUAUAUUUAGAGGAUCUCAAAAAUUCCACCAGAAAACUUCUAGAAUUAAUAAAUGAAUUCAGCAAAGUAGCAAGAUAUAAAAUUAAUACCCAUAAAUCAAAUGCAUUUCUAUACAUCAGUGAUGAACCCUCUGAAAGAGAAAUUAGGAAAACUGCCCCAUUCACAAUAGCCUCAAAAAAAAAACAAACAAAAAAAAAAAAACUUGGGAAUCAAUCUAACAAGAGAGGUGAAAGACCUCUACAAUGAAAACUACGGAACACUAAAAAAAGAAAUUGAAGAAGACCUUAGAAGAUGGAAAGAUCUCCCAUGUUCUUGGUUAUGAAGAAUUAAUACUGUGAAAAUGUCUAUACUACCAAAAGCAUUAUACAGAUUUAAUGCAAUUCCAAUUAAAAUCCCAACAACAUUUCUCAUAGAAACAGAAAAAGGAUUCAUGAAAUUCAUUUGGAAUAAUAAGAGACCCAGAAUAGCCAAAGCAAUCCUUACCAAGAAGAGCAAAGCAGGAGACAUCACAGAACCAGACCUUAAACUAUACUACACAGCCACAGUAACAAAAAUGGCAUGGUAUUGGCACCAAAAUAGACAUGUAGACCAGUGGCAUAGAAUAGAAGAAACAGAGACAAACCCACAUUAAUACAGUUAUCUCAUACCAGACAAAUGUGCCAAAAACAUACAUUAGAGAAAAGAUAGAACCUUUUCGACAAAUAGUGCUGGGAGAACUGGAAAUCCAUAUGCAGCAAAAUGAAAUUAAAUUCCUAUCUCUUACCCUGCACAAAAACUCAACUCAAAGUGGAUCAAGGACCUAGGAAUUAGGUCAGAGACCCUGUACCUAUUAGAAGAAAAAGUAGCCCAAAUCUUCAUCAUGUUGGAUUAGGUCCUGACUUCCUUAACAAGACUCCUACAGCCUAAGAAAUCAAGAAUCAAUAAAUGGGAUGGAUUCAAACUAACAAGUUUCUUUUCAGCAAAGGAAACAGUAAUGUGAAGAGAGAGCCUACAGAGUGGGAGAAAAUCUUUUCUAUACGUACCUCAGAGAGAGCACUAAUCCCAGGAUAUAUAAAGAACUCAAAAGACCUAACACCAAAAAAAAAAAAAAAAAAAACAACAAAAACAACAACAAAUGGGGUAAAGAACUGAACCAGAACUUCUCAGAAGAAGAUAUUCAGUCGAUCAACAAAUAUAUGAAAAAAUGUUCAACAUCUCUAGUAAUUAGAGAAAUGCAAAUCAAAACUACUCUAAGGGAAGCAGGGAUUGUGGCUCAGUGAUAGAGUGCUUACCUAGCAUCUGUGAGGCACUGGGUUCAAUUCUCAGCACCACAUAUAAAUAAAUACAAUAAAGGUGCAUCAACAACUAAAAAAAUUUUUUUUCAUAAAAAAACUAAGAUUUCAUCUCACCCCACUCAAAAUGGCAACUAUCAAGAAUACAAACAACAGUAAAUGUUGGCGAGGAUGUGGGUGAAAAGGUACACUGAUACAUCUCUGGUGGGACUGCAAAUUGGUGCAACUACUCUGGAAAUCAAUCUGGAGAUUCCUUAGAAAACGUGGAAUGAAACCAUCAGUUGACUCAGCUAUCCCACUCCUUAAUCUAUACCCAAAGGACUUAACAUCGGCAUACUACAGUGAUGCAGCCACAUCAAUGUUUAUAGCAGCUCAAUUCAUAAUAACUGUGGAACCAACUUAGAAGCCCUUCAAUAGAUGAAUGAAUAAAGAAACUGGUAUAUAUAUACAAUGGAAUAUUACUCAGCAUUAAAAGAGAAUAAAAUUAUGGCAUUUGCAUGAAAAUGGAUGGAGUUGGAGAAUAUCAAUCUAAGCAAAGUAAGCCAAUCUCCCCAAACAAAAGGCCAAAUGUUUUCUCUGGUAAGUGGAUGCUGAUCCAUAAUGGGAAGUGGGGGGCGUGGGAAGAAUGGAAGAACUUUGGCUAGGG
Molecule: long non-coding RNA, 5245 nt
Filed under: Marmota monax (woodchuck)
Lineage: Eukaryota; Metazoa; Chordata; Mammalia; Rodentia; Sciuridae
Source: RNAcentral